UGCAUGCACUAGCCUUAAAUUAGUGAGUGUGACCACAUUCCUACCAUCUAAACAGAUUAGAAAGUUGAACAGAUUAAUAUCCUAACAAGUGAAGUCAAUCAAUUCCUUUCUACUAACAACCAUAAUAAAUGAUCGGUUAGAAUAGGUUCAAAGAUGAAGUGUUAUCUAUAUAUAUGAAGCCUUAAAAAUGCAACAAAAAAAAAAAAGUCAUUUUGUGAUUUACUUAAAGUAUAAGUCAAACUUAACUGAUUCUACUUUGAGUUUCUCCUUAUACUUCUUCUCAAAAUACAAUGGUGUCUGCACCAGCACAGCAGCAGAAAUCAUAUGAUGAUCGCGUUCGUACCCGCGAAGAAAAAGGAUGCCUCUUCAAUUUUUUCUAUACACUAUGUUGCUGCUUUUGCUGCUAUGAGAGUUGUUGCAAAUGCUGCUCGGAACGUACCUGCUGUUGCUGUCCCUAGAUUGCUUAAUUUCCAAGAAAGCGUUGCCGAGUUUAUGUUUCAUCUCUUCUGUUGUAUGAAAUGAUGAUUUUGAGGAGCCAUUAGGGAAUAAUCUUUGAAUACUUCAAUGAAUUUUAUAUUUUGUUUCUGUGUAAAUGUAAAGUGUUGAUCAUAAUACAUUAUCCAUCAAUAAACCAGUACUCAACAUUUCAAUUUCAAUAAAUCACAAUCACAAAAUUUGUGAUCA
Long non-coding RNA from Trifolium pratense (red clover), 684 nucleotides. RefSeq lists it as uncharacterized. The record is from RefSeq and is a predicted model, not a curated record. NCBI's taxonomy places the organism in Eukaryota, Viridiplantae, Streptophyta, Magnoliopsida, Fabales, Fabaceae. The transcript has 2 exons.